UUAUAUUGCGUAAUCGGGUAACUUUUGUGUACCCAUGGCCGCCGGAAAGAACCAGUUGCUAAGGCUUGCGGGUUCUCAUGAAACGUCUUCGUAAUCUUCUCGAUUGUUGAAUGCUCUACCUCUUAAGUCUAGGACGUCUUAAAGACUGUUUGUCCUCGUCCUGUGCCAGUGGAGAUGCCCCCCUUUACUUUAUACCAGCUGUUCACGUAAAGAAAACCGUCGAUAGAUACUGAUACAGCGAACAUCGAACCUGCUCGCUUUUUCUGUAGCUUGGGCUCGAGAAUGAUGGAUACAACGAACUUCAGGAAUUUCAUCGCUAGAUGACUGUCGUUCCCUCAGCGUUGAAAGAAACAAAAUUCAAAUGAAUGGUUACGGCUAUCGCAAAUACGAGACCACACAACCGAGUUCUUUUUAGCAGCAGCUCUGAGACAAUCAGGACUAAUGGAAUGAAGGGACAACUUUGUGACAGAUUAGCGACAAGUUUCAGCCUGACAUUUUCCUGCUGAGCGUGGAGGAUUUCACGUUGUUGGUCGCCGUAUCAGGAAGGUAACUAUUGUAGGGUUCUUUUAUUUUCCUGUGGAGAUUUUAAAGUUCGUUACCUCCAAUCUUCACACCGACGAAAGAGAAGAUUUCCUUUGCAAUUAGUUUUCUCUAAUUUAUGUGGAAAAUAGCAAUGUCGAACUGUUUCAUGUCUGCCAUCAUAUAUCGCGAGGCCUCCGAAUGUAAGUCUUCGAAAUAUUUGCGAACUGUUCAGAGUUGUAUAUUUAAACUUGAGCUUUCAUUAAAUAAGCUUUUCUAGCUACAGUUUUAUCCGUCUUAAUUUACUUAUGAAACACCUCAUUUACUUUAUGAUUUCCCGGUGAUAUGUUGAUUUUGAAGACUUUCUACGAGUGAUUUAAAUCAUGAAACUUAAGGCGGGAAUUACAGAUCACUUAACAAGAUUUGCAUGUUUAAAUAAUGCAGUGAUACAUGUAGUAAGGGUUUUAGAAACCUCCAUUCCUUACUGUUCAGUACCAGUUUUAAGUCCCAAAUUUGAAAGCAUUUUCCUGCUUGAGCUUCUGCAUGGGAAUGCACAGACUCAGUGUGAACUUUUACUACGUUGAGGUAUUUCAUUUACAAGCUAUUUACAAUUUCUUGGCCUGUGGAAAUAAAGAAGCAGCUUCUGCUCACAUGCUUUGGCAUAGCUUGUACUGGUGAUAAAAAUCAGUUUUAUUUGUGUGGUGGAAGAAAACUCUGUCAUAUUUCUGGAUAUCAAAAUUGAGCUGCCAUACACUCAUCUGCAAAGGGAGAUAUGAAAUAGACCCUACCUGUAUGUGUGUGCUAGCUAGUAAUGAGGUAGACAGGCAAAAUGAUCAUUAUCCAGAAAACUGACUGUAGUUGGGAACAACCCGAGUCAAUAGAACCUCCACAAUGCUGGAUUAGGCCAAUUUUGAUACUUGGCUCCAAGGUUUUGGAGAAUAUCAACAAAAGUUGUUUCAAGUGCAAGGGAUAUUCGUUUUAUUUCUUUAAGGUAAAGAGAUGAGUAAGGACUUAAGCACACCAAAUUUGGCCUGAAGUGUUGCCAAUCAGAAGCUAGUUCCUUUAAUGAAAGGAGAGUUAAAUAAGGCAAUAAGGGAGGCUAAAAUAAAGUCAGAUGAAUGCAGUCUUUAGAAGUUCUUGUCUCAAAUGGCAAUGCUUGGUGCCAUAGAGGACCAUGAACUGUUCGAAAACUGUUUCAGAGGUAGCAAAAAAA
This is a long non-coding RNA of Orbicella faveolata, 1732 nucleotides long. NCBI's taxonomy places the organism in Eukaryota, Metazoa, Cnidaria, Anthozoa, Scleractinia, Merulinidae. The record is from RefSeq and is a predicted model, not a curated record.